This 493-nucleotide ribosomal RNA is filed under the name uncultured bacterium. RNAcentral describes it as "partial 16S ribosomal RNA". It matches the Rfam family "Bacterial small subunit ribosomal RNA", at positions 28 to 506 of the family's 1533-position model. The record is from RNAcentral.
GACGAACGCUGGCGGCGUGCUUAACACAUGCAAGUCGAACGGAAAGGCCUGCUUUCCCUUGUGGAUUGCGGGUACUCGAGUGGCGAACGGGUGAGUAACACGUGAGUGAUCUGCCCCCAACUUGGGUAUAAGCCUGGGAAACUGGGUCUAAUUCCCGAUAGGACUGCAGGGUGGUGCCUGUGGUGGAAAACGAUUUUCUAGUGGUUGGGGAUGAGCUCGCGGCCUAUCAGCUUGUUGGUGGGGUAAUGGCCUACCAAGGCGGCGACGGGUAGCCGGCCUGAGAUGGUGGACGGCCACAGUGGGACUGAGAUACGGCCCAGACUACUACGGGAGGCAGCAGUGGGGAAGAUUGCACAAUGGGCGGAAGCCUGAUGCAGCGACGCCGCGUGGGGGAUGACGGCCUUCGGGUUGUAAACUCCUUUCGACCGCGAGGAAGCCACCUGGUUGGAAGGGUGGUGACGGUAGUGGUAGAAGAAGCACCGGCUAACUACGU